GAGUUUGAUCCUGGCUCAGAACGAACGCUGGCGGCGUGCUUAACACAUGCAAGUCGAACGUGAUUCAGAGCUUGCUCUGAUGAAAGUGGCGCACGGGUGAGUAACGCGUGGAUAACCUGCCCUGGUAUCUGGGAUAACAUCUCGAAAGGGGUGCUAAUACCGGAUAAGCCUACGGACUCCUCGGAGUCUGCAGGAAAAGGAGGCCUCUAUUUAUAAGCUUCCGUAUCAUGAUGGGUCCGCGUACCAUUAGCUAGUUGGUGGGGUAAUGGCCUACCAAGGCGACGAUGGUUAGCUGGUCUGAGAGGAUGAUCAGCCACACUGGAACUGAGACACGGUCCAGACUCCUACGGGAGGCAGCAGUGGGGAAUUUUGCGCAAUGGGGGAAACCCUGACGCAGCAACGCCGCGUGAGUGAUGAAGGCUUUCGGGUCGUAAAGCUCUGUCAGAGGGGAAGAAAUGGAAACGGUUAAUACCCGUUUUUCUUGACGGUACCCUCAAAGGAAGCACCGGCUAACUCCGUGCCAGCAGCCGCGGUAAUAC
Molecule: ribosomal RNA, 539 nt
Filed under: uncultured Geobacteraceae bacterium
Lineage: Bacteria; Pseudomonadati; Thermodesulfobacteriota; Desulfuromonadia; Geobacterales; Geobacteraceae
Description: bacterial SSU rRNA
Rfam family: Bacterial small subunit ribosomal RNA
Source: RNAcentral